Lemur catta (Ring-tailed lemur) is the source of this 3223-nucleotide RNA transcript. It is a transcript of the gene named LYL1 basic helix-loop-helix family member, with no coding region annotated. The record is from RefSeq and is a predicted model, not a curated record. Lineage: Eukaryota; Metazoa; Chordata; Mammalia; Primates; Lemuridae. The transcript is spliced from 5 exons.
CCUGGGAGCCGCUCACUUUCCCUCGGGGGACCCACGCCACCACCGCGGCCGCCUCGGCCCUCUGGAGCCCAGGAGGAGGCGCGGCCCGACUCCGGGCGGAACGGGCAGCCUGGAGCGCAGAGGCCGGACCUGAGCGGGACGGUGGAGCGUGGCCUGACGCUGGAAACCGCAUCCUGGCCCAGGCUGCCAGCCCUGACCGGACAGAGCCAGGGCACUCACCAGGCUGCGGGAACAGCAAAGGGCAGGAACCCACUACCUGAGGGGCCAGGCCAGCCUCCCCAGGGCCUAGCUGAGGAAGACAGGGCAGAGGGCCAGGAGUCCCACACCUUGCCUGGACACCCCAGGCUCUGGAGCCAAGAGUGAACAGGGAUGUCAAGGCAGCCUGCAGAAGUGUGGGUGCUGAUGUGGGUGGGGGACCCCAGAGCCAGAGGGAGGACUGGGGCAUGACUGGGACUGGACUGGGCAAUGGGGUCAGUGUUUGGGGGUCCUGGGGUCAGCAUUAUUUUAUCAGUAGUGGGGUCACAGGGUUAGUAAAAGGGACAUUUUCAGUGGGGCUGGGGGUCACUAGAGCCAUUAUUGAGAACCGUCAGGGUCAGACGUGGAAGCAAUGGGAAGCAGCUCAGGUCAUACCAGAGGUGCAGAGGGUCAGCCUGGGGCCUGUGAGGGGGUGGUCAGUGAAGGGUCAGAGACAAUCUUGGAGAGGUUCCAAGGUCACAUGGUAUCAAUGAGUCAACGAGGGGUCUCAGGAUCAUAUUUCCGGAUGUGAGGGUGUCAGGGCCAAUCUUGGGGUUUCAGGGGGAUCCCAGGAUCAGUCAGGGACUUCCUGCCUGUCCCCUCUCCAGACUGCAGGUGAAAGGGAAUUCUGGAAGGGAAUUUUGCUCAGAUAGCACUGCCUGCUCCUCAGUGGCCACUUCCUGGUCUUGUGUAGGACCCCCUCCCGUUCCUGGCAGCUUCUGGGCCCACCCCCAUCUGCCUUUGCCCACUGAACCCCCCCCACUCUUUCCCCCUCCCUCUCCCUCCCAUUUGAGGGCUGUUGGGCUAAGCAGGUGGGAAGGUGGCACCUGGUCCUCCUCCCCAUUGGCUUCCUUCCUUCCCACAGGUGAGCACCCCCACCUCGGGGUCCAUGUGCCCGCCCCAGGCCCAGGCAGAGGUGGGCCCCACCAUGACUGAGAAGGCAGAGAUGCUGUGUGUCCCCAGCCCAGCACCUGCCCCACCCCCUAAACCUGCCUCACCUGGGCCCCCGCAGGCAGAGCGGAUGGGGCACGGAAGCUCCUCACCCCCCAGGCUGCCCCCUGGUGUUCCAGUGAUCAGCCUGGGCCACACCAGGCCCCCAGGAGCAGCCUUGCCCACCACAGAGCUGAGCACCCUACGGCCCCCCCUGCUGCAACUCUCUGCCCUAGGAACCACCCCACCUGCCUUGGCCCUACAUUACCACCCUCACCCCUUCCUCAACAGUGUCUACAUUGGGCCGGCAGGACCUUUCAGCAUCUUCCCUAGCAGCCGGCUGAAGCGGAGACCAAGCCACUGUGAGCUGGACCUGGCUGAAGGGCACCAGCCCCAGAAGGUGGCCCGGCGCGUGUUUACCAACAGCCGCGAACGCUGGCGGCAGCAGAACGUUAACGGCGCCUUUGCCGAGCUCAGGAAGCUGCUGCCAACGCACCCGCCCGACCGGAAGCUGAGCAAGAACGAGGUGCUCCGCCUCGCGAUGAAGUACAUCGGCUUCCUCGUGCGGCUGCUGCGCGACCAGGCGGCCGCACUGACCGCAGGCCCCACCCCGCCCGGGUCCCGCAAACGGCGGGCGCACAGAGUCCCAGACGACGGCAUCCGCCAGGGGUCAGGACACAGGGCCGAGGCGGCCGCGAGCUCUCAACCCGCGCCCCCGGCCGAUCCCGACUGCAGCCCGGGUGGGGCGGCCCGGCCCAUCAAGACGGAGCAAGCGGCUCUGAGUCCGGAGGUGCGGUGACCCCACGCGGCGGCGCCUCUGAGCCCGAGGGCACCGGGGACUCAGCCCGGGGCCGUCGAAGAAAGGGCCGACGAUGCGCUGCGCCUGCUGGGGAGCAAACGCGCCCGAAGAGGGACCAGUGAGGACGUCCCCGACGGGGCAAGGUUUCGAGGGUCUGAAAGGUGACCGUCGCCCCCAGGGGCCCCGCAGACCCUUUUUUAAGAACCAUGCACUGCCCGCUGGAAGUGGCCUUGCCAGUGUCCCCUUCCCAGAGGCGAGCCCUCCCACCGAAACCGAGAACGAACGACGAAACAAAUAAAAACCCCAGAUCAUCCUCGUCAACGCAGGAAAACGACUUAAAAAAAAAAAAAACUGAAAACGAACAAAAAAAAAAAAAAGGAAAAAACACUCAGCUUUCGUUAUCCCCGCGCAGGGCGGGUCAGGCCCGGUUCUUUUAGCGUCCCCAGAGCCGCGAGGACAUUACAACAAAAAUAGAAUUUUUUUUCUUAACAAUCUCUUAACAUACAAAGAUAGGAAAACUCUCUGAUGCAUUGCACUUGGUUCAAUGAAAAAAAAAAGUUCAUUUCCCCCAUAUAUAUUUUUGUGGGUUUUUUUUCUCUCCCAACACGUCCCCACAUCUCCUGUCGCCCUCAUUGCCCCUCACAACACCACUUGGGAAAGGAGCAGCCCCACCCCCCCUGCCCGCCCGGGCAACCCCGCCGGGCACGCUCCGGCCGGAGCCCAGCUGGCCUGCAGCUUCCGACUUCGCCCGGGCGGGCGGCCCGCAGACUCCGCUCCCGCAGGCCCACAGCGCCCGAGGCCCUGACUCUUCGAGGGAAGGGGCGCGUGCGGCCGGGCAGGGAGCCCUUUCCGCUUCGCUCUCAGCUCUGACCCUGUUUAGCCAACCGAACUGAAAAAUCAUUGCACUUUGACCGCGCGUCACGCCCGGCCCACCCGGCCCCCCAACCCCCGGGACCUUACCCCCCACGCCCCGGGAGGCCCUCGCGGGAUCCCCUGCCCCUCAGCCCUAGGAUCCUCCCACGGCUGCAGCUGAGAAGGGGGGAGGGCUUUGCUCAACUUCCAACAAAAGCCGCCGCCCCUGGGACAAGCCACCUCAUGGCUUCCAGCCGGGCAGGAGGCACCACCCGGCAGCCCCUGCAGCCCCAGGUCGUGGCCCUCCUCCCCUCCCCAGACGGCCUCCUCCCCUCCUCGCCUCCCUCCGCCUGCUCAGGGCCACAGCCUCACAAACUAGAUUCACAAUAAAUAAAGCCCGUAACCCAC